UAUCGACGGCGGUGUUUGGCACCUCGAUGUCGGCUCAUCACAUCCUGGGGCUGAAGUAGGUCCCAAGGGUAUGGCUGUUCGCCAUUUAAAGUGGUACGCGAGCUGGGUUUAGAACGUCGUGAGACAGUUCGGUCCCUAUCUGCCGUGGGCGCUGGAGAACUGAGGGGGGCUGCUCCUAGUACGAGAGGACCGGAGUGGACGCAUCACUGGUGUUCGGGUUGUCAUGCCAAUGGCACUGCCCGGUAGCUAAAUGCGGAAGAGAUAAGUGCUGAAAGCAUCUAAGCACGAAACUUGCCCCGAGAUGAGUUCUCCCUGAGACUUAAAGUCUCCUGAAGGAACGUUGAAGACGACGACGUUGAUAGGCCGGGUGUGUAAGCGCAGCGAUGCGUUGAGCUAACCGGUACUAAUGAACCGUGAGGCUUAACCUUACAACGCCGAAG
This 440-nucleotide ribosomal RNA is filed under the name Salmonella enterica. Its description in RNAcentral is "partial 23S ribosomal RNA". It matches the Rfam family "Bacterial large subunit ribosomal RNA", at positions 2503 to 2925 of the family's 2925-position model. Lineage: Bacteria; Pseudomonadati; Pseudomonadota; Gammaproteobacteria; Enterobacterales; Enterobacteriaceae. The record is from RNAcentral.